This 253-nucleotide ribosomal RNA is filed under the name uncultured bacterium. Its description in RNAcentral is "partial 16S ribosomal RNA". It matches the Rfam family "Bacterial small subunit ribosomal RNA", at positions 524 to 776 of the family's 1533-position model. The record is from RNAcentral.
UACGUGGGUGGCAAGCGUUGUCCGGAAUUACUGGGCGUAAAGCGCGCGCAGGCGGUUCUUUAAGUUUGCGGUGAAAGCCCGGGGCUCAACCCCGGGUCUGCCGUGGAUACUGCAAGGCUUGAGUACUGUAGAGGCAGGUAGAAUAUCGGGUGUAGCGGUGGAAUGCGUAGAGAUCCGAUAGAAGACCGGUGGCGAAGGCGGCCUGCUGGGCAGUAACUGACACUGAGGCGCGACAGCGUGGGGAGCAAACAGG